Molecule: microRNA precursor, 215 nt
Filed under: Notamacropus eugenii (tammar wallaby)
Lineage: Eukaryota; Metazoa; Chordata; Mammalia; Diprotodontia; Macropodidae
Description: miRNA (ENSMEUG00000017005.1)
Source: RNAcentral
ACAAUGACAAAAGAGAGAGAGCAAAUAGUAUGAUUCUAUCUGCAUUCAGACUCCAAAGAUCUUUCUCUGGAUGUGGAUAGCAUUUUCCAUCCUCAGUCUUUUGAAAUUAUCUUAGAUCCUUGCAUUGCCAAGAAGAGCUAAAUCUAUCAAAUUCAGUCAUUGCGCAACAUGGCUGUUACUGUGUACAGUGUUUUCCUGGUUCUCCUCACUUCAUU